UUCUGUAACACGAAACAAGUGAGACGACAUGACAGGUUCUUUCACAGAGGUGUGAACACAAUGAAGAGUGAAAACAAAUCCUUUCUACUAUUAGUAACACUGAGGAUUUCUUUGCGUCUGUUGAUUAGCUCUGCAUGAAAAAACCAGAGGACUAAUCGCCAGGGAACAAACAGGAACAAGAGCAAACAGUGGCGAAGAUGAGAGGGCUGGUGGUCACAGUUUACACACAUCAAUGUAUGGUAUCAAAGAGUGGCGGGGCGCCCCAAGGCUUCUGGGAAGUCUCCUAACGGCACAUUCUCAUCUGGAAAGGCUUACGCACAAAUCAGUUGUUAAAGAGGAAGAUGAUCCAAUUGAUGAGGUAUGCUGUGAUAAAAACUGGAGUUUUUUUUUCCCCUCUCUGUGUUGUGUUUGGCCUAAAUUCAGCUUGAUGCAGUGGAUUUGUUCUGUGUGCAGGGGGGAUUACACAGUAAAGCUGGCUUGCUUGCUUGCUGCUGGGUGGGCACAGAUACCUUGGUCCCUAAUCCGUGCUAACAUCAAGACCUACCCAAGGGCUCUCUUUGUUCCACUUAAAAAGAUCACCUUGCAGGGUCUAGCUAGGCUCAGCAAC
Non-coding RNA from Xyrichtys novacula (pearly razorfish), 607 nucleotides. The record is from the annotation of a GenBank genome assembly. NCBI's taxonomy places the organism in Eukaryota, Metazoa, Chordata, Actinopteri, Labriformes, Labridae.